AUGCAAGUCGAGCGCGGGAAGCAGGCAGAUCCUCUUCGGAGGUGACGCCUGUGGAACGAGCGGCGGACGGGUGAGUAACACGUGGGCAACCUGCCUGUAAGAUUGGGAUAACCCCGGGAAACCGGGGCUAAUACCGGAUAAUACUUUUCGUUGCAUAACGAGAAGUUGAAAGGCGGCUUUUAGCUGUCACUUACAGAUGGGCCCGCGGCGCAUUAGCUAGUUGGUAAGGUAACGGCUUACCAAGGCGACGAUGCGUAGCCGACCUGAGAGGGUGAUCGGCCACACUGGGACUGAGACACGGCCCAGACUCCUACGGGAGGCAGCAGUAGGGAAUCUUCCGCAAUGGACGAAAGUCUGACGGAGCAACGCCGCGUGAGUGAUGAAGGUUUUCGGAUCGUAAAACUCUGUUGUCAGGGAAGAACAAGUGCCGUUCGAAUAGGGCGGCACCUUGACGGUACCUGACCAGAAAGCCCCGGCUAACUACGUGCCAGCAGCCGCGGUAAUACGUAGGGGGCAAGCGUUGUCCGGAAUUAUUGGGCGUAAAGCGCGCGCAGGCGGUCCUUUAAGUCUGAUGUGAAAGCCCACGGCUUAACCGUGGAGGGCCAUUGGAAACUGGAGGACUUGAGUACAGAAGAGGAGAGUGGAAUUCCACGUGUAGCGGUGAAAUGCGUAGAGAUGUGGAGGAACACCAGUGGCGAAGGCGACUCUCUGGUCUGUAACUGACGCUGAGGUGCGAAAGCGUGGGGAGCGAACAGGAUUAGAUACCCUGGUAGUCCACGCCGUAAACGAUGAGUGCUAGGUGUUAGGGGGUUUCCGCCCCUUAGUGCUGAAGUUAACGCAUUAAGCACUCCGCCUGGGGAGUACGGCCGCAAGGCUGAAACUCAAAAGAAUUGACGGGGGCCCGCACAAGCGGUGGAGCAUGUGGUUUAAUUCUAAGCAACGCGAAGAACCUUACCAGGUCUUGACAUCCUCUGCCAAUCCUAGAGAUAGGAUGUUCCCUUCGGGGACAGAAUGACAGGUGGUGCAUGGCGUCGUCAGCUCG
This 1042-nucleotide ribosomal RNA is filed under the name Virgibacillus salarius. RNAcentral describes it as "bacterial SSU rRNA". It matches the Rfam family "Bacterial small subunit ribosomal RNA", at positions 55 to 1062 of the family's 1533-position model. The record is from RNAcentral. Lineage: Bacteria; Bacillati; Bacillota; Bacilli; Caryophanales; Bacillaceae.